Brachypodium distachyon (stiff brome) is the source of this 1613-nucleotide long non-coding RNA. RefSeq lists it as uncharacterized. The record is from RefSeq and is a predicted model, not a curated record. Lineage: Eukaryota; Viridiplantae; Streptophyta; Magnoliopsida; Poales; Poaceae. The transcript has 2 exons.
AUGAAGCUGAAUAGUUAAUCAUCUUGGCAUUUUCUAAAUGUUUCAUAUAGCACUAUAUGGUUAAAAAGCGGCUUUCUUUUAGUUUGUUGCCACUUCCUAUCUGUAGUAGACCAGCUGUUUGAUUUACCACAACUGUAAAAAAACGUGUUCAAAUAAUCUACUCUGGCUAAAUUGUAUUGAAUUUUUAGUGAUAAAUUUGCAAAAGCAUUGCCCUAUGCUACUUACAUUUUUCAAUAGAAGUUAGCUGGGUACGACAUAUUAUUUAUAAUUUUCAGGCUUGUUCAUAUUUCAGAGGUAAGGAUGAAAAUAUCUCUAGAAACUGCACCUACUCAAAGGCCACGCGGUUUCCUUGGUAUAUGGAGCCCUGUCCUAUCUGCUGUGGGCAAUGCAUUCAAAAUUCAGGUAACAUAACAUUAUUUACUGGCAAAUCAUUCUGGAGCCAAAGCAAAGUUGACUUAUGUACCGAAUCAUAUUUCUUGUCCAAUGCCCGUCUAACUCACGAAGGUUAUGAUGUAAACCUUGGUCCACAUUGGGAAAUACCAGACGUACUUACAUGCUAUCAUCUUCUAUUUUUAAUUUGAGCUCUUCCUAACUAAUAAAAUCUAUAGCGUCAAGAACUGGAACAAUAAGGAAACAAUCUAUUCUAUGAUUCUAUCUCAAAGGGACUCAUAUCUAUUCUAGCUCAAAGGGACUCAUAGUUUAAUCAGACUUCCAAAGGACUGCAUGCGUUCUUCCGCAGAAGUUUUAUGCACGUUCAAAUCGGUAACUGUUGCAGAAGUUAUAUUUCUUAACUACGAACUGCGAGGUGUAUUCCGUCUAAGGAACUGUAAUUUUAUCCUUGUUUACUUUAGGUGCAUCUAAGGAAGGUCAUGCACAAAAGCAGGUUUAUGCGGAAGAGUGCCAUUAUCCCUGCAUCUUAUAUUUUCAGUAGAGAGCUCCGCAAAUCCUUUACUGAGUGAUGAUAAAGCUCAUUUUGUCACCCCAAGUAAAUCUACAGAAAAUAUAAGAUGUUGAGGAUUGUGGAUGAGGUCUCUUUUGAUUCGGUUCACAAUGGAAGGAUGUUUAGCAUCUGGAGGCCUCUAUGCCCUAGUGGGUGUGUCUCAAUUGGAGAUGUUGCUCAUGUUGCAACCCAUCUGCCGCACUUUGCUGCUAUCCACAAAAAAUGUCAACGGGAAUUUUGUGCUUCCUCUCGUCUAUGAGCCUAUGACCUGGUCAGUGUUCAGAGAAAUCUUUUCUUGUAACAGGACCUCGCUGCAAUUCAUGGCGCUCCGUCAGCCAAAAGAGGAGUCUCCACAGAAGCCUAAGAAGAUAACAGAGCCGUAUCUCCAGCAAGCACUGUAAACUCUAUGAUCCUGUGAGGAGAGAAGCAGACAGCACCGUGCAUCGGAGAUAUGAAGAGCGAUGUACAUAAUGUAGGAAAUACGAGUCCAAGAAAACUUUGCCAGGCAUUUUUGUACAGAAGCCCAGCAUUAUGUGACUGAGCAUGGCUUUUUUGCGGGGGAAAGUAAUUUGUUGGCCUGGUUUUGCUUUUUCUGCUUAAUGCUUGGCUUACAGGCUUGAGUGUACAACUUUAGGCAGUAGAUGGGGAGAGUACACACUUCUUAGAUUUUUCC